GAUGAAGAACGCAGCGAAAUGCGAUAAGUAAUGUGAAUUGCAGAAUUCAGUGAAUCAUCGAAUCUUUGAACGCACAUUGCGCCCCUUGGUAUUCCGAGGGGCAUGCCUGUUCGAGCGUCAUUAUAACCCUCAAGCUCAGCUUGGUGUUGGGGCCUGCUGCACUGGCAGCCCAUAAAAUCAGUGGCGGCGCCAUCUGGCUCUAAGCGUAGUAAUUCUUCUCGCUAUGGAGUCCUGGUGGAUGCUUGCCAUCAACCCCCAAUUUUUCUAUGGUUGACCUCGGAUCAGGUAGGGAUACCCGCUGAACUUAAGCAUAUCAAUAAGCGGAGGA
Molecule: unclassified non-coding RNA, 328 nt
Filed under: soil metagenome
Description: partial contains 5.8S ribosomal RNA, internal transcribed spacer 2, and large subunit ribosomal RNA
Rfam family: 5.8S ribosomal RNA (bases 1-120)
Source: RNAcentral